This is a long non-coding RNA of Drosophila miranda, 592 nucleotides long. RefSeq lists it as uncharacterized. The transcript is spliced from 3 exons. The record is from RefSeq and is a predicted model, not a curated record. NCBI's taxonomy places the organism in Eukaryota, Metazoa, Arthropoda, Insecta, Diptera, Drosophilidae.
CGCAGUUCCCAGGAAACUACGCAAUUCUCGAACAGAUCGCGGCUCGGGAAUGCGCAAAAUGGCCGACACACGAUCCGGAUCCAUCUUCAGCGCUCCUCCUCUCACUAUAAAUCCCAGACGCUCGGCAACCUGUCGCAGAAUCUUCACGUGCGUUUGGAAGUCCUCAGCUAUAAUCAGCAAGUCGUCGAGAUACGCAUAGACGUUUGAACGCAUCUCCACCGGAAUCACCUUAUCGACCAGUCUACAUAGGCGUUGUGCGGCGUUGCAGAGGCCAAAGGGCAUCAUACGGAACUGGUACAGACGCCGUCCCGGCACCGUGAACGCCGUAUAUGGUCGACUCUGCUCGUCCAGCUCGAUUUGCCAAAAAGCGAAUUUUAAGUCGACGCUGGAGAUAUAUAUCGUCUGAUCGAGACGCGACAAAAUUCCCUCGAUGCUAGGAAGUGGGCUCCUUCUGUGAGCGUGAUUCGCCUGCUUGGCGAAUGCUCGCACCCCUCUUCACGUUUCCCGCGCAAUUCGGACAGGUUGGACAAUAUGCAUCGGGCUUUCCACACCGGUAGCAGAACAUUCGCCUCUCCGAUGCCAUACAGUCCCU